Phacochoerus africanus (Common warthog) is the source of this 3965-nucleotide long non-coding RNA. RefSeq lists it as uncharacterized. The transcript has 4 exons. The record is from RefSeq and is a predicted model, not a curated record. NCBI's taxonomy places the organism in Eukaryota, Metazoa, Chordata, Mammalia, Artiodactyla, Suidae.
GGGCUUACCCUGUGGGCCGGGAAAAGAGCCAGCAGGAUGGAGGUGGGGAGCUUCUGCGGCCCUGCAGGGCUGCGCGUCCAGAGCGCCGUCCCGCGCGUGCCGUGGCGGGAAGUCCUAGCCCGCGCGAUUCCUCCUUCCCGACCGUGGCGAGUGUUUACUGAGCGUGCUGGUGCUUCACUCAGGCUGCGUAACAGACAGGGGUUUGACCACAGAUGUUUAUUCUCGCAGCCCUGGAGGCUGGAGCCCAAGAUGAAGGUGUUGGCAGGGCUGGUUCCUCCUGAGGCCUCUCUCCUCGGGUGUAGAUGCAUCUUUUCUCCGUGUCUCCUGGGGUUGUCCCUCUGUGUGUGUCCGCACCCUGGACACCCGUCCUAUGGGGUCAGGGCCCACCUAACAACCUCAUUCAACCUCAGCCCCUCUUAGUGGGGAAGAGGCGUGAGCCACUCAGAUCUCCAGUGAGGGGGCAUGGAGAAGGGUGAGCAGGGAGGUGCAAACGUGCAUGGUAAUUUUAGGAGCCGUGGCCCAAAGGAGGCUGGACCUCAGAGAGGACACUGGAGCCAAGUGCAGAGAAAGGGGAAGCCGUGGCAGGAGGCGAAGCCCGCGCUGUCCUGUGCCGGCUUGGAAUCCGGCGUCCCAUCUGGAAGGCUGGAGCCGGUCUUGAGGCAGGCUCGGCUCAUCCAGCCCCCGCUGGGUGUCGGGCUGGUGGGACCAUCCCAGCUGGUUGACACUAGGGCGGUUGGUGAAAUAAAGAACAGGGCGGGCUUUUUACAAAGUCGGGAUUUUCUUCUACGGCUGCCGUGAACUUUACAAAGUGUGAGGUGAGCCGCGGGGCCGCAAGACAAAAACACACAACAGAACAGACCAGGCUGACGAGGUCCGCGGGGACAUGCUCCUCCUGCACAGACGAGGACAAGCACAACUCAGUACAACACAAGCAACGCGGCCCGGGAGUGGAGGGGGUUAGGUCAGCCCGGGCCGGGAGAGCUCUGCAGCGGCCGCUGGGGGUACAGGCUGCCCCGCGGCGCGUUUGCUGGCGCAGGGGGUUAACGAGGCCGAAGUUAAUCCCGCCAUGUGUGGGAUUUUGCUGACGCCUGUUCUGGCUCGGGGUUCGAAGGACUGCGACUUGAUCCUGGCCCCCCAGCCCACAGGACGCACCCUCCUCCCGCAGGAGACAGAGGCGUAAGUACCGGAACGGCCGAUGCAGGGCCACUCCGCUCCGACCGAUGCCCCAGGCAAAGGGCCUAUUAAUCCAGCUGCAGCCCCACUUCUCUUCGCGGCUUCCUGGAGGCAGGAUGGCCACUGGAAGUGGUUUUGAACGGCUUCCUGUGGUUCUCCCACUCUGAGGGGCGGGGGUUCUAUUUUCAGACAGUGACCACUGCUGUGAAGGUCCAGUUGGCCACAGAUGAAGGCAAUGUGGGGACUCGUGGGGACCAGGCCAGACUGGGUGGGGUCUCCAUUCAGGUGGUAUUUUAAGAGUUCCAGUGACACAGAGUGGAGAAGGCCACCACUUCCUCCCGACGGGUAAGAGGGUGUGUCUGGGCCCACGGGCACUGGGAUGCUUGGCUGCGAAAUGUGUCACCGUGUUUGGAGGGCUGGUGGCCACCCCACCAGAGGCUGUGUGGCUGGUGGAUGCCAAGAGGUGUAUGUGCUCCUUUGCACUCACCACGAGCCUUGCCUGAAUAUGAUGGUACGUGGUGGAUUUUUUUCUCAAACAUGCCAUCCUCUCGCAGUCGGCGGGUCUCGUCUUACUUCAGCUCUCCCCGGAAGCAGUCCUGGCACAAGGACCCCCGUGCACGUGGCUUAUGGGGGAGUGGGUAAGCGGGCAGGAUGAGAGCCAGGACCACCCAGGGUAGCUGAGGGCCCAGGACGUGCAGCGAGGCCAGCUGGCCUGUUUCUCAGACUCUCCGAGGCUGCAGGUUCUUCUGAAGGUAAGGGACCCUCUCCGGGGCCAAGAUGUGGCAGGAAUGGGCAGGUAGGCCUCCAAACCUGCGAGAACUCACAGAGCACAGGGGUGGAGAGGUCUGGGCUUCCCGUGGGUGUCUUCUUCCUUCAGCUGUCUCCUCUCGCGGCUCCUUUCUUUGCUGGUGAAAUUCUGACAUAACUCGGUGUUUGGGCAGCCCUCCUGCCGGCCAGGAAGCCUGAUCUGAUUGUCUCGGAUUCCUGUUUCUUUCUCUCUCUCUGUUUACCCUCUCCUUAAAGUGCAGACUUUGCAUCUCAUUUUGUGCCCUCAUUUUAUGCAAAGCACAUCCAUAGCAUCGGAUCCCCGAGCAGCCACGAGGACGACAAGGGUUAAAAGACUGACACUUCCAAGUGCUGCCAACACACGAGCAGCAAGAACUCUCACACGCUGCUGAGAAAAUAGGAGGGCUCAUGUGCCAAGUUAAAAACAGACGAACCGAUGGCCCAGUAAUACCCACUCCUAGCUAUCGCCCCCAAGAGAACAUACGUCUGCACAAAGCCCGGCAUGUGGAGGAGCACAGCGGCAUUGUCCAUGACAGCCCGAAGCGCUUCGGAGCGUGCUGCUUGGGUUCAAGCCCUGUGUCUGUGUGUUAAGAGGCUGUGCGAUCUGGGGUUGAGGACUUAGCCUCUCUGAGCCUCUCCUCCUCAUCGUCUGAUGGAAACAGCAGCAACCACCGAAGAGGGCUGUUUGAGGACUGAGCCGGUGGGAGAUCUGGAUGCACAGAGAUACAGACACACUCAGCGGGAAGGCAGAAGCAGACGCGGGAAGUGGUGCAUCUGCAAACCAAGGAUUGCGGGGGCCGCUCGGAGCUGGAAGAGGCAGGAGGACCUUCGACCAGAGCCUUCAGAGGAAGCGCAGCCACCGACACCUUGAGUCCAGACUCUGGCCUCCAGGACAACAACGCCUUUCUGUUGUCGUCAGCCCCCCACUCAGCGGCCACUUGCUCCGGCCGCCCUGGGACGGAGCGCGGCUGGCGGACAGGCUCAGCCCCACAGCGAGGGCUGUCACCUCGACCCCUGUGCAAGGCUCCGAGCUGUAACUUCCCUUAUUUUCUCUGACUUGAUAAUUAAUGAACUGAACUUAGAUAUUUUCAGACUCCUGUUUCCCUUCCUCAGCCUCCUCUGCCCACUCCACGGCUUUUCUGUUUUAGCGUCCCUCGCGGCUGUUUUUCGUAGGGGCAGCAGGAAACAUGGCUGCAGGGCUAAGAACGAGGGCAAGGGCCCCUUGGCUGUGGGAGGACAGGGCUCCCUGCGUCCCCCCGACGGUCAGCCUGCUCCCCGAGUCAUCUCUCUGACUCCCUCCCAUCUCCCUCUGUGGACAUUUUGGCAGCAGGACGGUGGGAGCAGAGAGCCGGCAGAGGUGCACAGAGGCUCCCAGGGCCGAGCCCCCCGGGAAGGCAGGCACAGCGAUGUCCGGCCUUUGGCUUCUGUAACUGGCUGGUGUUGGUGCUGGAGCACAGGAAAGCGGCUUCCCCGGGAUGGAGAUCAGAUAUGGAUUCGGCACCCGCCGCCGCCCGGUGGAGGAAAGGCCCCACAGCUGAGUUACACCGGGCAAGCCGGCCCGACGCACUUUCCACGCCAGAGGAGGAGGAGACAUCUUAGCCUGCGAGACGCUGCUCUUCAGGGAAGAGGCACGAGGGCCUGACCGGAUCCUCCAUGGAUUCCGCUCCCCCUUCCCGGGACCCAGCGCGACCCCAACGCCCACUCCGGGCAUCUUCCCUCCACCCCGCCCCGUCUGCUCUUGCCCGAAACUCCCUCUGCAGGUCACCUUUCAUGGUCACACAACACGUGGGGGAACAAGGUUGGGCUUGGGGAGCCUGGGUCUGUCGCUUGCAGAGACACGUCUGAAUGGGGCGACGCAGGUGUGCUUUGGGGGUGGACUGAGAAGCCCGGGACAACACCAGGCCCUUGGGCCAGAGCAGCCCACACUGGACCCUUUCCGGCCGAGCAAGCACAGGGAGGAGAGCUGACGUUGGAUGGGUUUCAGUUCCUGGCAAAUAAAUGUUUGA